GGUUCCCUAGUGUAGUGGUUAUCACGUUCGCUUCACACGCGAAAGGUCUCCCGGUUCGACCCGGACGGAACCA
This 73-nucleotide transfer RNA is filed under the name Trichonephila inaurata madagascariensis. Its description in RNAcentral is "tRNA-Val". The record is from RNAcentral. Lineage: Eukaryota; Metazoa; Arthropoda; Arachnida; Araneae; Nephilidae.